This 2203-nucleotide ribosomal RNA is filed under the name Escherichia coli. RNAcentral describes it as "partial 23S ribosomal RNA". It matches the Rfam family "Bacterial large subunit ribosomal RNA", at positions 1 to 2228 of the family's 2925-position model. The record is from RNAcentral. Lineage: Bacteria; Pseudomonadati; Pseudomonadota; Gammaproteobacteria; Enterobacterales; Enterobacteriaceae.
GGUUAAGCGACUAAGCGUACACGGUGGAUGCCCUGGCAGUCAGAGGCGAUGAAGGACGUGCUAAUCUGCGAUAAGCGUCGGUAAGGUGAUAUGAACCGUUAUAACCGGCGAUUUCCGAAUGGGGAAACCCAGUGUGUUUCGACACACUAUCAUUAACUGAAUCCAUAGGUUAAUGAGGCGAACCGGGGGAACUGAAACAUCUAAGUACCCCGAGGAAAAGAAAUCAACCGAGAUUCCCCCAGUAGCGGCGAGCGAACGGGGAGCAGCCCAGAGCCUGAAUCAGUGUGUGUGUUAGUGGAAGCGUCUGGAAAGGCGCGCGAUACAGGGUGACAGCCCCGUACACAAAAAUGCACAUGCUGUGAGCUCGAUGAGUAGGGCGGGACACGUGGUAUCCUGUCUGAAUAUGGGGGGACCAUCCUCCAAGGCUAAAUACUCCUGACUGACCGAUAGUGAACCAGUACCGUGAGGGAAAGGCGAAAAGAACCCCGGCGAGGGGAGUGAAAAAGAACCUGAAACCGUGUACGUACAAGCAGUGGGAGCACGCUUAGGCGUGUGACUGCGUACCUUUUGUAUAAUGGGUCAGCGACUUAUAUUCUGUAGCAAGGUUAACCGAAUAGGGGAGCCGAAGGGAAACCGAGUCUUAACUGGGCGUUAAGUUGCAGGGUAUAGACCCGAAACCCGGUGAUCUAGCCAUGGGCAGGUUGAAGGUUGGGUAACACUAACUGGAGGACCGAACCGACUAAUGUUGAAAAAUUAGCGGAUGACUUGUGGCUGGGGGUGAAAGGCCAAUCAAACCGGGAGAUAGCUGGUUCUCCCCGAAAGCUAUUUAGGUAGCGCCUCGUGAAUUCAUCUCCGGGGGUAGAGCACUGUUUCGGCAAGGGGGUCAUCCCGACUUACCAACCCGAUGCAAACUGCGAAUACCGGAGAAUGUUAUCACGGGAGACACACGGCGGGUGCUAACGUCCGUCGUGAAGAGGGAAACAACCCAGACCGCCAGCUAAGGUCCCAAAGUCAUGGUUAAGUGGGAAACGAUGUGGGAAGGCCCAGACAGCCAGGAUGUUGGCUUAGAAGCAGCCAUCAUUUAAAGAAAGCGUAAUAGCUCACUGGUCGAGUCGGCCUGCGCGGAAGAUGUAACGGGGCUAAACCAUGCACCGAAGCUGCGGCAGCGACGCUAUGCGUUGUUGGGUAGGGGAGCGUUCUGUAAGCCUGUGAAGGUGUACUGUGAGGUAUGCUGGAGGUAUCAGAAGUGCGAAUGCUGACAUAAGUAACGAUAAAGCGGGUGAAAAGCCCGCUCGCCGGAAGACCAAGGGUUCCUGUCCAACGUUAAUCGGGGCAGGGUGAGUCGACCCCUAAGGCGAGGCCGAAAGGCGUAGUCGAUGGGAAACAGGUUAAUAUUCCUGUACUUGGUGUUACUGCGAAGGGGGGACGGAGAAGGCUAUGUUGGCCGGGCGACGGUUGUCCCGGUUUAAGCGUGUAGGCUGGUUUUCCAGGCAAAUCCGGAAAAUCAAGGCUGAGGCGUGAUGACGAGGCACUACGGUGCUGAAGCAACAAAUGCCCUGCUUCCAGGAAAAGCCUCUAAGCAUCAGGUAACAUCAAAUCGUACCCCAAACCGACACAGGUGGUCAGGUAGAGAAUACCAAGGCGCUUGAGAGAACUCGGGUGAAGGAACUAGGCAAAAUGGUGCCGUAACUUCGGGAGAAGGCACGCUGAUAUGUAGGUGAAGUCCCUCGCGGAUGGAGCUGAAAUCAGUCGAAGAUACCAGCUGGCUGCAACUGUUUAUUAAAAACACAGCACUGUGCAAACACGAAAGUGGACGUAUACGGUGUGACGCCUGCCCGGUGCCGGAAGGUUAAUUGAUGGGGUUAGCCGCAAGGCGAAGCUCUUGAUCGAAGCCCCGGUAAACGGCGGCCGUAACUAUAACGGUCCUAAGGUAGCGAAAUUCCUUGUCGGGUAAGUUCCGACCUGCACGAAUGGCGUAAUGAUGGCCAGGCUGUCUCCACCCGAGACUCAGUGAAAUUGAACUCGCUGUGAAGAUGCAGUGUACCCGCGGCAAGACGGAAAGACCCCGUGAACCUUUACUAUAGCUUGACACUGAACAUUGAGCCUUGAUGUGUAGGAUAGGUGGGAGGCUUUGAAGUGUGGACGCCAGUCUGCAUGGAGCCGACCUUGAAAUACCACCCUUUAAUGUUUGAUGUUCUAACGU